This 475-nucleotide long non-coding RNA is filed under the name Numida meleagris (helmeted guineafowl). RNAcentral's name for it is "lncRNA (ENSNMEG00000017893.1)". The record is from RNAcentral. Lineage: Eukaryota; Metazoa; Chordata; Aves; Galliformes; Numididae.
UACUGGAAUAAGAGUUCAGUACGGUCACUUACCCAGUCUUCACUUCAACAUGUCUGAGCACUUACAGCUGUAACUUGUGAUCUUUCUGGUUUAUUUGGAGGCACAGCAGGCCAGCUCCUGUACAGAGGAAUUCACAUUGAAGACGGCAUUCUUAUAUGCUUCCUAACAUGCUGCUGCUGCCUGGGUUAUUGAAAUCACAGGGAAGGUUGCAGUGCAAACAUCUAUGUACACAGAUUAAUUCACUUCAAAGUACAUUCAUUCAAGAAUUGUUCAAACAAUAAUUUAUGAAUUGAGCUUUUAUCUCGAGGAUCCGAGUAAUAAUACAGACACUUUCUAGCAACAGCAAUUGUUUUAGUGCAUAAUGUCUCAGAAAGAUUAUUUCUGAAGUAUAAAUUAUAAAUUUAACUUUAGACCUAGCCAUUUGGCAUUGAAAUUUAUGUCAUUAUUUUUACUGGCACUUUUCUACCAUGUUUGU